This 422-nucleotide ribosomal RNA is filed under the name Mycoplasma haemofelis. Its description in RNAcentral is "bacterial SSU rRNA". It matches the Rfam family "Bacterial small subunit ribosomal RNA", at positions 411 to 853 of the family's 1533-position model. The record is from RNAcentral. Lineage: Bacteria; Bacillati; Mycoplasmatota; Mollicutes; Mycoplasmatales; Mycoplasmataceae.
AAGGCCUUUUUGGUUGUAAAGUUCUUUUACGAGGGAUAAUUAUGAUAGUACUUCGUGAAUAAGUGACAGCAAACUAUGUGCCAGCAGCUGCGGUAAUACAUAGGUCGCGAGCAUUAUUCGGAUUUAUUGGGCGUAAAGCAAGCGCAGGCGGAUGUGUAAGUUCUGUGUUAAAUGCAGCUACUCAAUAGUUGUAUGCACCGAAUACUACAUGUCUAGAUUGUGGUAGGGAGUUUCGGAAUUAAGCAUGGAGCGGUGGAAUGUGUAGAUAUGCUUAAGAACACCAGAGGCGAAGGCGGAAACUUAGGCCAUAAAUGACGCUUAGGCUUGAAAGUGUGGGGAGCAAAUGGGAUUAGAUACCCCAGUAGUCCACACCGUAAACGAUGGGUAUUAGAUAUUAGGGCUUUAGCUUUAGUGUUGUAGCU